UGUAGCGCAGCUGUGGGCUGUGGUUUGGACAGUUUGGUUAUGUCGUUGAUUGAUAAAUAUAGAGUGAUUGUUAUACUGCCUUUUUAAAUAGUUUUCAUAUUAUAUUUUUGGACUUAUUAACAUGCUUGUUGCAUGUCAUUGUGGAAGCCCAAACUGUGUCAGUGCGAUUUUCAAUCGCAAAAUUACUGAUAAAAACCUAUUGGCUCGUAGAGGUAGUGUAGACAUUCUCUACACUAGAGAACUGUGGAUAAACAUCAAUCAACCGGGACGAUUUUACGAUCUCACUUAUUCAAAACUAAAGACUCGGAGGAUCCAGUACUUGGAGUCUUUUAUUACUGUCAAUGAUUACAGACGAACCAGCUUAUUUAGAGGACGAAAAUCAUCCUGAUCAAGUUCCAUCACAGGAAAUGGUACGCAAGCCUCAAAAAAGUGCGUAGGUAACAUGAUGUUGAAAGAACGAGGAGAUUGGAAAAGAAAGAAGUAAAUUGAGAGCUAUACAGAUAAAUCUAAAAGUAAACAUAGAGGACAAUGAUGCAUUAGAGACUGGCAUAUCAUCUCAUACGGACAACACCGCAGGAGAGUUUUUUUAUAUUUGAACAAUUCAGCUUCGCUUCAAAGAAAGUUGGAUGCAUUGGAAAAAAAAUUUAAGCUCACUGUUUGGACUUACGGAAGAUAUUGAAAAUGCUAUAAAGUAGGGAUAUUAUACCGGAUUUGUAUUGUAAAUAAUACAGGCUGUAACAAAAAUACAGGUCAUAAAUUAAACCACAUAUUCUGGGACCAAAAAUAGUUCGAUUGAACCUAACUUACCUUAGUACAAAUAGGCACACAAAAAAAGUUACAGCCCUUUGAAGUUACAAAAUGAAAAUCGAUUUUUUCCGAUAUAUCGAAAACUAUUAGAGAUUUUUUAAUGAAAAGUGACAUGUGGCAUUGUUAUGGUAGGUACAUCUUUAAAAGAAAUUAUAGUGAAAUUUGUGCACCCCAUAAAAAUAUUAUGGGGGUUUUGUUCCCUUAAACCCCCCAAACUUUUAUGUACGUUCCAAUUAAAUUCUUAUUGUGGUGCCAUCAGUUAAACACAAUGUUUUUAAUAAAAGUUUUUUGCCUCUUAGUAAUUUUUCGAUAAAUCAUUUUCAAUCGAGAUGCGGCUUCUUUUUUAAUAUGUUUACGUAAAAAUUUUAUGGGGGUUUUGUGCCUUUAAACCUCCCAAAUGUUUGUGUACGUUACAACUAAACUAUUAUUGCGGUUACAUUAGUUAAACAGAGUGUUUUUGAAACUUUUUGCCUCUUAGUAUUUUUCCGAUAAGGCAUCUUUUAUCGAGAUGUGGCUUCUUUUCUAAUACAGUUCAAAAUAUACCUCAAACUGUAAUUAUUUAUAAAUAAUUUUUCGUAUUAUUACCAGUACGUAACAGUAUACAAAUAUAUGGUGGAUUUGACAAAUAUUCAAAAUAUCUCGACAAAAACUAGCUUUUCGAAAAAGUACUAAGAGGCAAAAAAGUUUUAGAAAUAUUGUUAUUAACUAAUGGUGCCACAAUGAUAAUUUAAUUGGAACGUACACAAAAGUUUGGGGGGGUUUAAGGGAACAAAACCCCCAUAAAAUUUUUAUGGUGUGCACAAAUUUCACUUUAAUUUUAUUUUAAGAUAUUCCUGUCAUAAGGAUGCCACAUAUCCGUUUUCAAUAAGAAACCACAAACAGUUUUCGAUAUAUUGGAAAAAAUCCAUUUUUAUUUUGUAACUUAAAAGGGCUGUAACUAUUUUUAUGUGAACAUUUGUACUAAGGUAAGUUAGGUUCAGUCGAACUAUUUUUGGUCGCAGAAUAUGUGAUUUAAUUUAUGACCUGUAUUUUUGUUACACCCUGUAUAUUGUAUGAUAUUUUAAAAGAAAAUAAUGAGUACCACCAGUGUUACUACAAAUGUCUAGUGAAUUUAGUAAGUAAUUUUGCCAAUUUUGUAAAAUUGACAAGAAAAUAAUUACUAAAUAGUUAGUAAUUUUGCCAAUUUUCACAAAAUUGGCCAAAAACAAAAAAAAUAUCUACUAAAAACACUAGCCAGUUGUGUCGUGAGUUUAGCGAACCGACUAUAACUCUUGUUAAAUUAAGGUUGAGUUUACACUUUUGACUUGCCUACAGAUUUAAAAAUAUUUUUGUCAUAAUAUACAGUAUAUCCCUGUAAGUUGGAACCAUAAUAUGGAAAACUUUUUUAUUAUUCAUUUUACGAAAAAUAGUUGUUCUACAUAAAAGGUUCUGCAAUAUCUAGAAUCUCUGAUUCAACCAUCAGAUAGUAAAUUUUUAUGGGUAUUACACAGGGUAUGUCAAAAAAAUAUGAAUGUCACUCAAGAGAAAAGUAGCUUUAUUUUUACAAUAUUGAACAUUGUUAUUAUGAACAGUUAAUUGGAAAUAGAACUAUAUUCUAAUAUGGAAUUACAUCCUUCUAAUUGAAAAAGAAAUUAAAAAUUUUUCUCAACAUAUAUAAUCAAUAUUAUUUUCUGUUAUUUCAAUUAUGAUAACUUUUGUUAUUAAUUUUACGAAAGAAAAGUUAUAGAAAGUUCUGAAUGAUCUAAACCCUAAAAUAUAACCAUCUUAUAGCAAAUAUUACCGAUUUUGUAUGAGGUAUAUAAAAAAACUGUUUUUUAUGACGACAAAGAAGUAUAACUUCUUACGUGCGUACACAAGUACACACACUCUUUUUUUUUGUUAAUUUGAAACAUCUCCAGAAAUAAUCUACUUUUAUAGUUAUCAGACUGUGCCAAAAUACGAGUAUUAUUAUAGUCUAGCAUAUGACCGGUGUUUUCAUAAUGCUCAACUACUGCACACGUAUUUUUUCUUAAGCGGCAAUCACUUUUAUGUUGUGUGAUUCGUUGCUUUAACCAUUGUGAUGUUUGGUAAAUGUAACUAUUCUGACAUCCUAGACAUGGUAUUUCAUAAACAACAUUACUUCUAUACAAGGUUGGUACUGGGUGUCAUUGGAUACAGUAUCUAGGAUGUCAGAAUAGUUACAUUGGCCAAACAUCACAAUGGUUAAAGCAACGAAUCA
This is a long non-coding RNA of Diabrotica virgifera virgifera (western corn rootworm), 3025 nucleotides long. RefSeq lists it as uncharacterized. The transcript is spliced from 3 exons. The record is from RefSeq and is a predicted model, not a curated record. NCBI's taxonomy places the organism in Eukaryota, Metazoa, Arthropoda, Insecta, Coleoptera, Chrysomelidae.